UGCAGUCGCACGGGCAGUAGCAAUAUUGUCAGUGGCGGACGGGUGAGUAACGCGUAGGAAUCUAUCCUUGGAUGGGGGACAACCGUGGGAAACUACGGCUAAUACCGCAUAAUGCCUGAGGGCCAAAGACGUAAGUCGUCUGGGGAGGAGCCUGCGUCUGAUUAGGUAGUUGGUGGGGUAAAGGCCUACCAAGCCUGCGAUCAGUAGCUGGUCUGAGAGGAUGAUCAGCCACAUUGGGACUGAGACACGGCCCAAACUCCUACGGGAGGCAGCAGUGGGGAAUAUUGGACAAUGGGGGCAACCCUGAUCCAGCAAUGCCGCGUGGGUGAAGAAGGUUUUCGGAUUGUAAAGCCCUUUUGGCGGGGACGAUGAUGACGGUACCCGCAGAAUAAGCUCCGGCUAACUUCGUGCCAGCAGCCGCGGUAAUACGAAGGGGGCUAGCGUUGCUCGGAAUGACUGGGCGUAAAGGGCGCGUAGGCGGCUUACAUAGUUAGGCGUGAAAUUCCUGGGCUCAACCUGGGGACUGCGUCUAAUACAUGUAGGCUUGAGUGUGAAAGAGGGUCGUGGAAUUUCCAGUGUAGAGGUGAAAUUCGUAGAUAUUGGAAAGAACACCGGUGGCGAAGGCGGCGAUCUGGUUCAUUACUGACGCUGAGGCGCGAAAGCGUGGGGAGCAAACAGGAUUAGAUACCCUGGUAGUCCACGCUGUAAACGAUGUGUGCUGGAUGUUGGGGUGCUUAGCACUUCAGUGUCGUAGCUAACGCGGUAAGCACACCGCCUGGGGAGUACGGCGCAUGUUGAAACUCAACGGAUUGACGGGGCCGCACAGCGUGA
RNAcentral lists this ribosomal RNA (831 nucleotides) under uncultured Acidiphilium sp. RNAcentral describes it as "bacterial SSU rRNA". It matches the Rfam family "Bacterial small subunit ribosomal RNA", at positions 56 to 934 of the family's 1533-position model. Lineage: Bacteria; Pseudomonadati; Pseudomonadota; Alphaproteobacteria; Acetobacterales; Acidocellaceae. The record is from RNAcentral.